Molecule: ribosomal RNA, 253 nt
Filed under: uncultured bacterium
Lineage: Bacteria
Description: partial 16S ribosomal RNA
Rfam family: Bacterial small subunit ribosomal RNA
Source: RNAcentral
UACGGGGGGGGCAAGCGUUGUUCGGAAUUACUGGGCGUAAAGGGCUCGUAGGUGGCCAACUAAGUCAGACGUGAAAUCCCUCGGCUUAACCGGGGAACUGCGUCUGAUACUGGAUGGCUGGAGAUUGGGAGAGGGAUGCGGAAUUCCAGGUGUAGCGGUGAAAUGCGUAGAUAUCUGGAGGAAUACCGGUGGCGAAGGCGGCAUCCUGGACCAUUACUGACGCUGAGGCGCGAAAGCUAGGGGAGCAAACGGG